This 1241-nucleotide ribosomal RNA is filed under the name metagenome. Its description in RNAcentral is "bacterial LSU rRNA". It matches the Rfam family "Bacterial large subunit ribosomal RNA", at positions 1564 to 2814 of the family's 2925-position model. The record is from RNAcentral.
UGAAUACGAGACGCUACGGCGUCGAAGCAGUCUAUGUCAUACUUCCAAGAAAAGCUUGCACUGUCAUAAACAAAUAAUGCCUGUACCAUAACCGACACAGGUGGGUAGGUAGAGUAUACUAAGGGGCGCGAGAUAACUCUCUCUAAGGAACUCGGCAAAAUGACUCCGUAACUUCGGGAGAAGGAGUGCCUUAUUUAUAAGGUUGCAAUAACAAGAUCCAAGCAACUGUUUAUCAAAAACACAGGUCUCCGCUAAGUCGUAAGACGAUGUAUGGGGGCUGACGCCUGCCCAGUGCCAGAAGGUUAAAGAAGUUGGUUAGCAUUAGCGAAGCUGAUAACUGAAGCCCUGGUGAACGGCGGCCGUAACAAUAACGGUCCUAAGGUAGCGAAAUUCCUUGUCGGGUAAGUUCCGACCCGCACGAAAGGCGUAAUGAUUUGGAUACUGUCUCGGAGAGGGGCUCGGUGAAAUAGACUUGUCUGUGAAGAUGCGGACUACCUGCACCUGGACAGAAAGACCCUAUGAAGCUUUACUGUAACCUGAAAUUGAAAUUGGACUUUAUUUGCGCAGUAUAGGUGGGAGGCGUUGAGAAUAUUCUUGCGGGAAUAUUGGAGCCAUCAGUGAGAUACCACUCUUGUAAUGUUAGAUUUCUAACUUUGAAUCAUUAUCUGGUCAAAGAACAGUUUCAGGCGGGCAGUUUGACUGGGGCGGUCGCCUCCUAAAUGGUAACGGAGGCGCACAAAGGUUUCCUCUGAACGGGUAGAAAUCGUAUCUAGAGUGUAAAGGCAUAAGGAAGCUUGACUGUGAGACCUACAAGUCGAGCAGGGACGAAAGUCGGUCUUAGUGAUCUGACGGUGCUGAGUGGAAAGGCCGUCACUCAACGGAUAAAAGUUACUCUAAGGAUAACAGGCUGAUCUCCCCCAAGAGUUCACAUCGACGGGGAGGUUUGGCACCUCGAUGUCGGCUCAUCGCAUCCUGGGGCGGUAGUACGUCCCAAGGGUUGGGCUGUUCGCCCAUGAAAGCGGUACGCGAGCUGGGUUCAGAACGUCGUGAGACAGUUCGGUCCAUAUCCGGUGUAGGCGUUAGAAUAUUGAGAGGAGCCUUCUUUAGUACGAGAGGACCGAGAAGGACAUACCUCUGGUGUACCAGUUAUCGUGCCAACGGUAAACGCUGGGUAGCUAUGUAUGGAGAGGAUAACCGCUGAAAGCAUCUAAGUGGGAAGCCCACCUCAAGAUAAGUAUUCU